GUCAAGCUCAAGCAACUUCAGAGGCUUAGAUAAGCUCGUUCAUCUAUUACAUUUAUGAAAAUGUCUACUGCUUACUAUUUAGAAAGUCUAAAACCUUGAAUUCUAAUCAAGAUUUACCGCCACUGUAACCCAAUUCUCAAACCUUCAAUUCCAAACUCAGAGCUAGCAGGUUACCUCAUCCACCGAAACCCCACAACACAUUGCAAGAACUAAACUAUAAAACUAAUCCGCAAACACAUUAAAACCCCAGAUUAUGCAGGCCUACAGCAAAACACAAAUAACUGGACAAUUGAAGAAAAGACACAUAGCUUAGGUAGCAU
This 320-nucleotide unclassified non-coding RNA is filed under the name Hevea brasiliensis (rubber tree). Lineage: Eukaryota; Viridiplantae; Streptophyta; Magnoliopsida; Malpighiales; Euphorbiaceae. The record is from RNAcentral.